RNAcentral lists this ribosomal RNA (376 nucleotides) under uncultured bacterium. RNAcentral describes it as "bacterial SSU rRNA". It matches the Rfam family "Bacterial small subunit ribosomal RNA", at positions 524 to 898 of the family's 1533-position model. The record is from RNAcentral.
UACGUAGGUGGCGAGUGUUAUUCGGAUUUACUGGGCGUAAAGGGUUCGUAGGGGGCGCGUUAAGUCCGGUGUGAAAGCCUGCGGCUCAACCGCAGAACGUCACUGGAUACUAACGUGCUAGAGGGCCGGAGAGGAGAGUGGAAUUCCUGGUGUAGCGGUGGAAUGCAUAGAUAUCAGGAGGAACACCAAUGGCGAAAGCAGCUCUCUGGACGGCUCCUGACCCUGAGUAACGAAAGUUGGGGUAGCAAACAGGAUUAGAUACCCUGGUAGUCCCAACUGUAAACGUUGUGCACUCGGUGUGGGGGGAUUUGGUCCCCUCCGCGCCUUAGCUAACGCGUUAAGUGCACCGCCUGGGGAGUACGGCCGCAAGGCUAAA